AUGAGCGAAUUACGCAAGCUAAUUCUCCAGAGAGCCUCCAAAUCAAGAUCAAACUCGAACUCAUCCUUGCUGUUUGGUUCUCCAGAGAGCCGGGUGCCGCUUUUCAAUUACCAGGCAGUCUCAUUGUCAUCUGGCGUUGCAGCAUUGAGCGCUCCCGGACUGCAGCUUCCUCCAGAGGCAGAUCAUGUGCUGCGGCGACUGGUAGUGCGCGGUGUAGUAGCCGUCGAAGCAGCCGGCCUGGAAGAACUUGACGUCGUGCGAAUACUCCACUGGCUGGCGAGUCUUGCUGAACUUCUGAACCCACAUGCCCAUGCUCACGUCUUCCAUCUUGAACAGCUGCAACAAUCAGGGGAAGCACAGCAGUUUGUUAGCCUUUAG
Molecule: ribosomal RNA, 378 nt
Filed under: Triticum aestivum (bread wheat)
Lineage: Eukaryota; Viridiplantae; Streptophyta; Magnoliopsida; Poales; Poaceae
Description: partial small subunit ribosomal RNA
Source: RNAcentral